GACGGAGGGUGCAAACGUUGUUCGGAAUCACUGGGCAUAAAGCGCACGUAGGCGGUUCGUUAAGUCAGGUGUGAAAGCCCUCGGCUCAACCGAGGAACCGCACCUGAUACUGGCGAGCUCGAGAGCGGUAGGGGUGAGUGGAACUCCAGGUGAAGCGGUGAAAUGCGUAGAUAUCUGGAGGAACACCGGUGGCGAAAGCGGCUCACUGGACCGUCUCUGACGCUGAGGUGCGAAAGCUAGGGUAGCAAACGGG
Molecule: ribosomal RNA, 253 nt
Filed under: uncultured bacterium
Lineage: Bacteria
Description: partial 16S ribosomal RNA
Rfam family: Bacterial small subunit ribosomal RNA
Source: RNAcentral